RNAcentral lists this unclassified non-coding RNA (546 nucleotides) under Nicolasia nitens. Its description in RNAcentral is "contains 3 external transcribed spacer, ETS". Lineage: Eukaryota; Viridiplantae; Streptophyta; Magnoliopsida; Asterales; Asteraceae. The record is from RNAcentral.
GCAUCUUGGGGGUUGUUUUGAUUGGUUUGUUUCCGGUGGUUGGCUCUCUGCUUACGCAACAACUUCCACCUGGCAUACCUCUUCAGUUGCACAUCGAGGAUUUAUUGCCUUGAUUGCAUUAUGGUUUCUUGUGUUGUAUACCUGUGCGAUGGUAUCGUUUGGAUUCAUCAAUUUCUAUUUCAUCUUUCGUCAUGCUUGUGGCGUGGGAUGAACCCUGAAACGAUCUCUUUGGUCUACGAUGUUGACACGUGAUGUCUAUUUUAUGGCCCGUUGAGCAUUGCUUGGUUUCAUGGAUACGGAACAUUAUGUGGGCGUUGGGUCUCAAAUGAUCCUUGUUUUGUCCAAUCAGCGUUAUUGUUUCUCUAAGAUGACCUCUAGCCCGAAUUGGCUCGUACCAUCGGGUGGGAUAUGUUAUCAAAGAGAGAUACUGACGUUCUCGCUUCUCAAAAGCGACCACCUAGCCUGAUGGCUUUUGCCAGCGGGUGGGUGAUGUCGAAUAGGGAUGCUACCUGGUUGAUCCUGCCAGUAGUCAUAUGCUUGUCUCAA